Molecule: ribosomal RNA, 497 nt
Filed under: Helopeltis theivora
Lineage: Eukaryota; Metazoa; Arthropoda; Insecta; Hemiptera; Miridae
Description: partial large subunit ribosomal RNA
Rfam family: Eukaryotic large subunit ribosomal RNA
Source: RNAcentral
GCACUCCCGGGGCGUCUUAUUCUCAUUGCGAGAAAAGGCGCACCUAGAGCGCACACGCUGAUACCCGAAAGAUGGUGAACUAUGCCUGGCCAGGACGAAGCCAGGGGAAACCCUGGUGGAGGUCCGCAGCGAUUCUGACGUGCAAAUCGAUCGUCGGAGCUGGGUUUAGGGGCGAAAGACCAAUCGAACCAUCUAGUAGCUGGUUCCCUCUGAAGUUUCCCUCAGGAUAGCUUGCGCUCAGAGGAACGAGUCUCAUCCGGUAGAGCGAAUGAUUAGAGGCCUUGGGGUCGAAACGACCUCAACCUAUUCUCAAACUCCAAAUAGAUGAGAACCCCGGCUUCCUUGAAUUAUGAAGCCGGGGGUUUGGAUCAGAGUGCCAAGUGGGCCAAUUUUGGUAAGCAGAACUGGCGCUGUGGGAUGAACCAAACGCUGAGUUAAGGCGCCUCAAUCGACGCUCAUCUGAAACCAUGAAAGGUGUUGGUUGCUUAAGACAGUAG